This is a long non-coding RNA of Bombina bombina (fire-bellied toad), 477 nucleotides long. RefSeq lists it as uncharacterized. NCBI's taxonomy places the organism in Eukaryota, Metazoa, Chordata, Amphibia, Anura, Bombinatoridae. The record is from RefSeq and is a predicted model, not a curated record. The transcript is spliced from 2 exons.
GGUUUCCUCUGUCUGAUUCUCUCCAAUUUCUCUCUAUUUUACAGGAGAGGAUGUCAGGGAAACAGAUUCCUCCAGCCCACGCGGCACCGGUGGCCACAGGGGAAAGCAUCAUGUCCACACGUCCUUCAACUUCCACUAUAUCAGGGGCUACCACUACGGGAGGUUCAGUUCCGUCCCUGCUACUUCACAUCCCAUAUCAGCUGCGCCAGCAGUUUCGGCUGAUGUACCGUUAACAUCAUCUGCUGGGAAUGGGUUUUAGCACAAUCAGCGGCCAUGAGAACUCGGAAAACCCUUAGUAGCAUCUCCACCCAAGAAGAUUUCUCUGCCUUGUCUAGAUCGGGCUGCUGACCUCUUCAGUCCGGGUUGGUCUUAGCUUUUCAUUUGCCGCCAUCUGUUUAUAGUCUGUUGGUUAUUAAUUCACUCAUUUAUUAUGUUAAUAAAGGGGACCAGUGAUGGUCCAGUUUUUCCCAAACAUAA